Molecule: long non-coding RNA, 7662 nt
Organism: Felis catus (domestic cat)
Lineage: Eukaryota; Metazoa; Chordata; Mammalia; Carnivora; Felidae
Exons: 2
Source: RefSeq, a predicted model, not a curated record
UUUUGUUUUUUUAACAUUACACCCGAUACCAUGAAAAGACAACGUGAAAACGUAGAAAGUUUGAAGACAUUUUAACACUUUGGAAACGCUGUCCCUACCCCGGCCAGUUCCCGACUCGCGCGCGUGGGCAAGGGACGCAGAGUUCCGUUCUCGGUUGCCCGCAGGUGUGGUUUAACCACGCCCCACCCCGCGCCCGUCCAGCCGCGGGCCGGGUGCUGGGCGUCGGCAGGUGGACGGCGCGCCCCUUCUCGAGGACCGACCAGUGCUCGGCGCCCUGCCCACGUGCGGCGGGGGUGUUGGGGGGCCCAGGACUCGGCACCAGGCGCCUCUCUUUCCCAGCGCGCGUGCUGUAAGGGCACAGCGGUUCUCCCCCCUUGCUCUCCGACGCACCGUGGCCAUUUGGUACGAAUGGAUCCCAUUCGAUUUCUUGCUUCGCAAAACUGGGGGAAUCAACAUUCGAGCUCAAGGGACCAGAGCACUCUGUUUCAUAUAAGUGUGAGUAAGAAAAAAAGAAUGAAAGGGUAAAGUGCGGAGGGAAAGAAAGAAAAGCCUGGGCUCGUCCGGGAUUUGAACCCGGGACCUCUCGCACCCGAAGCGAGAAUCAUACCCCUAGACCAACGAGCCACUCUCGGCAGAGCGGCUCCCGGCGCCUCCCUUCAGCCUCGCCCCGCCUCUCGUCGCCUUUCCCGCCGACCCGACCUGCGACCUUUCUCCCACCGCCUGGACCGUGCACCCGCAGCGGUGGGCCUCGGAACGCCUCUCGCCUCAGCCAGACCACCCAGCGCCCGGGUCUACGCUGCACACGGCGUGGCGGCGGGCGCGGAGGCCGCGGCUGGGAGGGUGCGGGGCCCCGCGGGUGCCGGCCGCGCAGCGUCUCGCCGCCGUCAGUGCUCGCUGGGCGCGAGGGGACCGUCGCGCCUGGCUCAGCCUCCCGUUCGUGCCCUCGGACGGCAGCCCGCUGCUGAAAGCAGGCGGGCGGAGCGGGCGCGGAAGAAACCCCGGAGGAGGGUUAAGAGCUAACUUUCCCAGUGCUGCUUAUGGGAUCUUGCAGGCUGUCUGCCGUGACUUCAGAGGGCACCAGCGAGACAAUGCAGCAUGAUCUCCUUCUUCUGUAAGGGACCCUAAGUGGUGUCCAACAUUUCAUCCAUGUCAAUGUGACUUGACUGACGCAUCUGACCUUUUCCAGAUUUCUAGGUGAUUUCCUGAGGUGACAUGGUCAAAGGAGGUGACCAUGUCCUUUUUUGUCCUUUGACGACUUCUCCGGCUCUUGAAGCAAUUCCAUGCCAAUGAGCUUAGCUUGGCUGGUUAGCAAGUAAGGUGGAAACUGGCGUGGAAGAAGGGGACUGGUGGUUCUUGGAGAACUUUGAACCCCGUGCUUUGAUGUUUUAAUUUUACUUAAGGGAUUUGGGGGCAUCAAGGCUUUUUGAGAAUGACGGUAAUGUUAGAAGUCCGACGGAAGAAAGAUACCUUUGACUUGGGGUCAGAUGCACGGGAGGAAGAUGGGGAGAUUAGAGAAGGUCCAUUAAGAGAUGAUUAGAAUAACGCUGGGAAGAUGUCAGCCUUGAAACUGUGAACGGCUUGAAACAUCACUUAGGUUCCUAUUUUAUGAUUAACGGUUGUGUGCCACUGAAUUCGGACCCAAUCUAGACCUCAGCGGUGCAGCGUUGGUUCUGCCAUGAUGCGGUUACUCUUUGGAAAUGAGAAUACAAUUUAAUCAUACGGCUCCGCCAUUCAGAGGGACCUUCCUGCUCACUCGGCCCCCGGGACUGGACUCUCGACUGGGUGCCGAGCCUUGUUUGCUGCCUGUGAGGUUAGGCACCAACUGCCUCUCAGGCCACCGCAGUUGUCACAACUGGCAGAUCUGCUUCACCGCUGCAGGCCAUGUCCUGAUCCAAACAGAAACUUGAAUCUGCUCACACAUGCGUCUUUUUCCAGGCUCCAGUCCAAUAUCCCAUAGUAGCUUCAGCUACUUUUUACUAAACGCAUCUCUGGGUUUCGAUGCGGUUUCCCCUCGGUGACUCUUUUUCUGAGGUUUAUCUCAUGCCUUCCUCUGGAUUUUGCAGUCCCUGGAUCAUCAGAAAUGAAUCUUUGGAGCUGCCUCGGCCUGAGCGUUUUCACUCCCAAGUUUUCACUUGAUUUAAGCUUUGAGAGUGCACGAAGUCCUAGAGGGGAUAGAAGUCCAAGGUCUAGAUUGUGACAAGAACUGCCUUCUGCCAGAACACCAUUUCCACCAGCGCAUCUUAUUUUCCUUCUGUUUCAUACACACUUGGUCUUGCUCUGGAAGUUACUGGCUGGGGAGAAGAGGACAGAAGUGCACAGUUUCCAUGGGCAAAAAGUGUGAUUGUUCAUGAUAGUGUGUGACAAGGAAGAAAGAUAGACAAUUACAUAUCGUAAGAUCUUAAUUUUGUUACAACCAAGAAUUAAAACAAAACAAAUAUAUAUAUGUGUGUGUGUAUAUAUAUAUAUAUACACACACACAUAUAUAUACACAGAUUUAAAAACUAGAAAAAUCCAUAAAAUCUUAACACCAGUGAUUUCUAAGUAGAGGAAUUACAAUUUUUUGCUUAUUUUUCUUUUCCUCCACAAGUUGUUUAAAAUAAAGAUGUACUGCUUUUAUAAUGAGGGAAAAAAAUAAGGAUAAUGAGUAUCUUGAAAUCACAAAGGAACACAGAGGGCUUAAAACUUUCUUUGUGCUUGGUGGAAGACAGGAGAUACAGAAUCGGAGGCAAUGCAAAACAGGCCCUUUGCUUUUUCAUGCCAGCUGCUUCCAGAGGUGGUCAGUGAGUGACUGUCACCCCUGAGGGGCCAGGGGCAGCUGUGAUGGGGACGUGCCCGGCACCAUGCCACACCUGCGGCUUCCUUAGAUAGUCCGACAGGAGUGACCAGUGUUGGAAGUCCUAUUAUUUUGAGUACCAGCCGUAUAUAAUCAUCCUAGAGUCUUGUUCUGAAUGCUGGUACAUUCCAGACAAUUCCAGUACAUUCCAGUACAAUCCAGUCCACUCAUUCUUUUAAAAAAGAGGCGGUUGAGAAGUGUGAUAACUGACGUGACAGGUUUGCCUAAAUUCAAGUGCUUUCCUGAAAUCUGUAUGUAAAACUACACCACGAAGGGCCAGAGUCAUUACUUACGGGAGUACCCAGGGGGACUCUUGCUCAUUUCGACCCCUUCCUUCUGCAUCAUGUGCCCCUCCUGGCAUCUCCCUGGCAAUGCCAGGACCAGGGUGUUGCAGCUCCCACAGAGAAGCCCACAACUUGCCAGGAUUAGAAGGAAUAAGAAGUCUUUUUGCUUCUGUUUUUGAGGGGGAUGGUUUUGCCCUGGUGGCUCCCUUUUCACUGAGAAGCAUGAAACAUACUCGUUGUCUCCUCCUCCUCCGUGGGGUCUCAAAGAACCACGGUUUCCUGCCCCAUUUGACCACAGUGGAGCCUCUCUGGAAUUCCCACAGAUUUGUGGGAUUUGAGGGCAGAGCUGGAAUAAACGUCUUCUCAGCAACCAUAAUCACCGGGGUUGGGACCUCACUGGACUGAGGGGGAACCUGGGUUACCCCAAGCAAUAUUGGGAGGUGAGAGAAGUGUGUCUCCUGCCCCUAGACUUUUCUAUACCUUGCUCUUUUUUUCAACCCCAUCCGGGGAGGAUCUCAAGAACCAACUCAACCCAAGCGGGGAUGACAAAGGAGACUUAAACUAUUCCUUCUCUCAGGACAUGCAUUUUGAUUGGGGAAGAAGACCGAAGCCAGUGGAAUCAGGGGCUAAUUAUGACACUUCAGGCAUCUGGUAUCAGAUAAGGGAGGUGUUGGGUAGCGAUGGAUGUUGAAAAUAAUCCUACUCCAGCUCUGAAAUCAGUUCAAUCAUUCAUUACUUAACAAAUAUUUAUUGAGCACCUAUAAUGCAUGAGGCACUAUACACAAUGAAGAACAAUACAGACAUCGUCUUUACCCUCAUGAAGCUCCAGGUUAGCUCUGGACAAGCAAUACAUUAUUCCAUGAAAUCAUGAGACUCAUUUUCACUGGUGGCUUAUGAACAGAAAUUCCAUUUUAUUUGAGUAGCGCUUGCAUUUUGCUCAGUGGUCUUGGUAUCUUCAGAAGUCAUCUGGUCACACAUCAUAUAGAAGCAUUCUAUUCAUACUAUUUUUACCUGGUCCGUAGAGCAUCAAGUUGAUUAAAACAAAUUUAAUUCUUUAGUAAACAAUGGAAUAGUAGUUCGGUGUAUCUGGGAUUUCCCUGUUGGACGCAUCUGGCGUGUGUGUGUGUGUGUGUGUGUGUGUGUGUGUUUGCCUACCCAGCAUAAUUCCCUUUGGUAACAGCACCCCAUUUGAGCUCUGCUGUUCCCAUUCACAGUCCUUGCAGAUUGCACAGGAUUGACCCUUAGCUCCUGGCAGGGGUCAGGGUGGUGGUGUCAUGUGACCCAGGCCUGGCCAAUCUGAACUCUGCACCUCCUUGGUCACAGAGACUGGUUCAGCUAGGAACAUGUGAUCCACAGGGGCCUAUAGAAAACCUUUUCAGGAUUUCCUCCUCCCCCCCCCCCCCUUAUCGGAAAAGAAUCUGCUUUUUCCAAUUGGUUUGCAGGUUUCCAAUUGGUUUCCAAUUGGUUUGAAGAGCCUGGUUGGGAAUAUGGCCAACACAGAGGAAAGCAGAGACCAAGGAUGAGAGGUUUCUGACACUGAGUGUUGUAUUUAGGCCUAUCCACGGAUUUGUAUGUUACUCAGCAUAUAGGUAGAGAGAGAGAGAAAGGCAGGGGGAGAGAGGGAGAGAGAGGUUGAUUCAAUAGUUUUGUUUUUCAUCAGCCAAUUUUGGUUGGGCUUCUUUCAUUAGCAACUGAAGGUCCCCAUUCAUUCAACUAAACUAUUACACUCCCUAAAGUAUUUAAUCAAAAGAAGAUGAUGAGCCGAUUGCCUGUCCACUGGUUUCUUCCUUUUAUUGGACAUAUAUUUAUUGUCUAGUCUACUGAUCACAGGCCCAAACCAACGUGGUUCAGGGUGACCUCAGUGAGGAGAGCGGAGGGCCCAGACCCCGGGGCUUCUUGUGGUCAUCUGGUUAUCUGGUUCCACAUGCAACUAAAACAGUGUCACAGCCCCCUAUUAAACACUGGCAUAUCCUUUCAAAGCAGCCGGGGUUUUUUCCUUGCUCCAUUUCUGGAGAAAGGAAGGAUACAGUUUAAAAUUCAAGCUGGAUGACAAAGGUACAGGAGGAGGGACUCUGCCCCCUUUCUUUAGCCUUGUAGCUGUGAAGAACCAGUGUUUUCUUUCAAGCCUAUUAGGGAAGCCCGAAGGAAACACAAUCUUCCUGGCCCGGUGAGGACCUGGAGCUGCCUAAGACAGCCAUCGAUUCCUUUGAUCCUCCACUUUGAGAUCCCAGAUCUGCAAAUGCAACACAUAAUCAGAGUUGUUUCGGGAAAGGAGAGUGAUCACCAGCUGGCCUAGCCUGUGGCAGGACCCGAGGUUCUGAGGUUCCUGCACUUUGUGAACUCCCUGCUGAGAGCCCCCAUCACUAAUGACAACCUCUGGGAACAGGGUCUCUGUUUUCUCACAAAAGAGAUUCAGGAAUGUGACUAAGAGGGACCCAGGCAGACAGAAAGGUAUUCUGACCCCAUCACACCUGCUCCUUCAGUGUCACAUUCCUGUCAUUUUGUAUUGCUCCUUACUCACCUGCUGCUGUAAGGUGUAGCCGCUCCAGACAAAAAAUAGUUUCAUCUUCACAUCUACAUCCCGUGCUUUCUGUUCCAGUCCUUUUUCAAGUCAAGGAAAGUGGCAGAUGUCCCCUUUAUGUCACACAUGCUCAUAAUCAUGCACACAUUCACUAAACUCUGGUCUGAAUAUGCGUGCGUGUAGAAAUAACCCAAAGACAUAUAUAAUAGUUUGUGGGGGGGGGGGUGUAUACAUCUCUGUUGAUGAUAGAUAGAUGAUUGGAUGGACAGAUAUACAUUAUAUAGACCUCAAAUUAACUGAAACACACAUCUCUCCAAAAUUCUGCAAAAACAUAAAACUUCUAAUAUUGGGCUUGACUAUGUUACAAGUUUUAGAAGAUGCAUGUAUUUAAAAAUAGUUUUGAAAAAAUAUAUAUCCCAAGUAUUAACACUAUUCUGGCAUUAGGAAAACUGUAACAGGAUGAAAACAUAGAGGUACCAGCCGUGACAUAAGGCCCUUUGUCUGGAGGACUAUUUUCUGAGUCAGGGUAGGAGGUGGUCUAACAGGCUUCCAGAAAAACAACUGCCCGCCUACCUCAUCAGCACAACGAGACACUGAAAUACUCGAAUCUGAGUAAGAACCAACCCUAAAGAUUAAACAUUUAUGUGGAUUGACCUCUUUGGGCACGAGUGCAUCAAGAGGGGAGGAGGGUAUUAGUCAAGGAACGGGUAGUCAGGCCCCUGUUCCUUGCAAAGCCCCUGCACUUUCCACAAAGAACAUUAAAGCGAAAGCUACCCAGUGAGAACAGACUGAAGACCCAACCCUCCUCCCGAGUCUGGAAAGAGAAGCCUGGGCUUUGAUUCCAGAGCAGCUUCCCAGGGAAUCUAGGAAGGAUGUUCUAGUUUUGUACCUUUCAAAAUAUGAUGCUGAAAGCGCCUCCCAGGAAAGAUCUACUCCAUGCUCAAGAUCUCCUCCUGGAAGUGCAAAUCUCAUCCCUCCAGGCCCAGAGGGCAGGCAUCGUUAAGGUCUCCUUGCUCUGCACACAGCAAAUGCAGCACACGGAGCCGUGAAACCUCUGGACAUCUGCUUCUCCAUGAGGUUUGCUCCCUGCCUCCACCUCCUCCCCACCCCCCCACCCUCGGCAGAAGAGGGACCGCUAAGCCUGUCACCUCCCAGUGUACCAACAACUAGAAAACUACCCAAAAGUAAAAGCUCCCUCUGGAUGGAACAGAUACCUAUUUUUUUAAUGUUGCAGUAAGUAUCUCUUUCCAGUCCAAGGAUUAAAAACUGGCUGGCCAGUUCAAAUUUGGAUGAAGCUGAGAGGUUGUCUCCGGGUCUUGAUACAACGUAAGGUCUUCUGUAACUUAUCGGAUUUAUAUUUCCAGCGACACUAUUUUCUUUUGUUCCUAGCCGGUCUGAAAUUUGUUCUUACUUACAUCUGAGAAUCAUAACAACUUGUCAGAACAGUAAAAAGGGCAUCACUUUACACAAACAAAAUCUGAUUAGCUAAAUCAGAAUCCAGUUCCGACGUCAGCUGCAGGGACAGGUGGGUGUGGACAGGAUUCGGGCCCCGCAGCUGACCAGUAUUCCUGGGAGUUGUCACCACAGUAAAUUGUUUUAAAUAAUUUUUGUUUGUCUGCUUUUAACCAAGUCCGGUAAGGGACACAAACUCAGGCUGAUAAAAGGCUGCUGCCCUCUGCCGGAUCUCUGUCUGCAAGGGGACGUUCAGCGUGGAGACCUGGAAAGAACACGCUCUGUCUUCAGGCUGCCUCCGACCCUCCACGAAAUUCUGCUCUGGCUUCAUUUGCUGCUACUACUCUUGCUGCUACUUCUAAAGAGAGGUCUCCAGCAGCUGCAUCACUAGGCACAAGGAGCUCUUCACAUUUUAGUGUCCUGGACAGGAGUGUCAUCCUGUGAACAGAGGAGGAAAGAAGGAGUUAGGAAGAGAGGGUGGGGAAAAUCCUCAGCACAUCUUGGGGAUGCCAGAUCGAGCCAUCAUUGUACCACCAGUAGAAGGGACGGUAAUAAUAACGCUAUGUGCUUGA